This 74-nucleotide transfer RNA is filed under the name Gemmatimonadales bacterium. RNAcentral describes it as "tRNA-Pro". It matches the Rfam family "tRNA". Rfam says of the family: Transfer RNA (tRNA) molecules are approximately 80 nucleotides in length. Their secondary structure includes four short double-helical elements and three loops (D, anti-codon, and T loops). The record is from RNAcentral. Lineage: Bacteria; Pseudomonadati; Gemmatimonadota; Gemmatimonadia; Gemmatimonadales. RNAcentral also lists the same sequence under 2 other names.
CGGGGCGUAGCUUAGCCUGGUAGAGCGCCUGCUUUGGGAGCAGGAGGUCGCCGGUUCGAAUCCGGCCGCCCCGA